Long non-coding RNA from Mauremys mutica (yellowpond turtle), 2178 nucleotides. RefSeq lists it as uncharacterized. The transcript has 4 exons. NCBI's taxonomy places the organism in Eukaryota, Metazoa, Chordata, Testudines, Geoemydidae. The record is from RefSeq and is a predicted model, not a curated record.
GAGCAGAUGGGGCAUCAUCACAUGCCUCAAGAAGGCAGCAAGCAUUUCCCAGCAGGCUCAAAACCUUCAAAAAGGAUGAAGGGACUUUCAGGUGCACAUUGGGGAGGUGAAAGGAACAGAGUUGCAGUGCAUGACCCAGCAAAGAAAGGACACCAGUGAGACUGAGAGGCAAGAUAUUUUUACUUCGUCCUAAGUGGCACACAGUAGAGCCCUGCAGCAGGACCAGGAUCCCACAGGACCCGCUGCCAUAAUAGCAGGAGCAGGAUUAAAAAUAAUCCCACGCAGGGAUCUAGCAUACAGGAUCUGGUCCAAGAGGUGAAUACAGCUGAACUGCUCUGUAAUAGCGACCAUAAGACUAACACGGUUCCUACUCUGAUUCCGCCAGAAGGGGUUUCUGCAUGUCUGUGGUACUCCAAGAACCGAGCAUGGUGUGAUCUCUGGGCAGUCUGUGACCUGCUGAAACAUUUCUUGUUCAUAGAUGGAUAAAUGCCCAAGGAACGCAAGGUAGCCCUGGAGUUAUUCAGGGCGUGAAGGGAGUCAUUCAUCGUCUCUGAGAAAAGCUUAGACUAAAGGGGAGGUCCUCUACAGUGUUCUGAAUCCCUCAGAAACUCUGAAAAUUGAAACCAAGAUGCCCAGAGCACAGUUACUGCCAUGGAUCUGGAAGCAGUGUCCACAGCAGCUAGGGAUGCCUGGAGAGAUGUUCGGGCCAAUAGCUGACCCUCCGCAAAUAUGGACUGGAAUUGCUUCCUGCAGUUGUGUGGCUGCUGUUCCAUAAAAGCCAUGAGCUGCUUGUAAUUAGGGCUAGUCUACACUCGAAGCACAUCAUCAGUGCAGCCAUGCCACUGUAGCGCGUCUGGUGAAGAUGUUCUAUGCGGAUGGGAGAAAGCUCUCCCGUUGGCAUAAUAAAUCCACCUCCAUGAGAGGUGGUAGCUAUGUCGGCAGGCAUAUAGCACUGUCCAUACCAGUGCUUAGGUCAGUGAAACAUGUGUCGCUCGGGGAUUGGGGCGGUGGCUUAUUCACAGACUUAAGAUAUGGGGAAGUAAGUGGUAGUGUAGACCUGACCUCAGUAGUGUAUAUUUGGCUAUGACAGCCUGAUCGUGAUCUGGAAUUGCACAGUUCUGAACUAGUAACAUUUUCGUCCAAAGACAUUCAGUUGCUUUUGGUCCUUGAUGUAGGGGGUAGUUCUCAAAAUGUCCUGCCUACUCUGUUCAUUCACGACUACGGAGUUAGGUGGGGGAUAGGAAAAUAAAAAGUCAGACUCCUUAAGGAGCAUGUGACACUUAUUUAUCCUUUUGCAUAUUGGUGGAACAGUAGCUGGCAUCUACCAUACCGUCUUAGCUGGAUCCAGGAGAGACUCAUUAAUAGGUAGCACCACUCAGGAGGGUGUUGCCGACUGCAAAAUAUCUAGCAACUUGUGCUGCAGAUCUCUGACCUCCUCCAGAGGGAUCUGUAGGAUGUCAGGUAGCCUUCUAGUGAGGUCCUGAAACUGCCUGAAGUCGUUGGCCAUGGAAGGUGGUGGAGAAAUAACUGCUUCAUCCGGUGAUGAUGAAAUGGGAGUCUCAGAGAUUACUUCCUCAUAUGCCCUAGCCUCCUGCUCUUGAAAUGUCUCCUCCUGUCAUGGAUGGGUAGAGGGAGAAUGUGAAAUCCUGGUCUCUUUGAGGGAUGGUACUGGUGUUCUGUUAAAUUGUUGUCAAUAGGCAGCCCACAGGUCCCAAUAUGGCCACUGUAGGGUCCAUAAGGAAGCAGGGGUGGCAUACAAGGUUGGUUCCACCAUCCUUGAUGACCUGCAAGGUCCUCCCAGCACAAAGGCGGAUUCCUAAAGGGGUAUGUAGGAGAACACCUCGGAAAUAGAGGAGACUGAUUAACAGUCCUCUUACUCCACAUGGGGGCAGCCAAUGAUGUUGGAGGAGAGUCCUGUGACAUGGAAUGGCUACUCAGAGAAUGAGGUUUCAGUACCAAAAGAUGCUUUGUACCUGGUAACAGGGACUCUGGCUCUUCCAACGAUGAGAUGUCCCUCAAGUACUGGAACUCCUAUAGUGCCGAAAGGACACUGGUACCAAUGUCAUAGCUGAGAUCGCCAUAGCUGGAGUCAAUGGUACCAGUGAUGGUGGGCACACUGCAAGCAUUGUAGAUGUCAGGCUUCAAUGCUUGCUCGGUACCGAGGAUACCACUUGUACA